This 490-nucleotide ribosomal RNA is filed under the name uncultured bacterium. RNAcentral describes it as "partial 16S ribosomal RNA". It matches the Rfam family "Bacterial small subunit ribosomal RNA", at positions 29 to 507 of the family's 1533-position model. The record is from RNAcentral.
AAUGAACGCUGGCGGCAUGCCUUACACAUGCAAGUCGAACGGCAGCAUGACCUAGCUUGCUAGGUUGAUGGCGAGUGGCGCACGGGUGAGUAAUGCAUCGGAACGUGCCUUUUAGUGGGGGAUAACGUAGCGAAAGUUACGCUAAUACCGCAUAUUCUCUGAGGAGGAAAGCAGGGGACCUUCGGGCCUUGCGCUAGAAGAGCGGCCGAUGUCGGAUUGGCUAGUUGGUGAGGUAAAGGCUCACCAAGGCAACGAUCCGUAGCGGGUCUGAGAGGAUGAUCCGCCACACUGGGACUGAGACAAGGCCCAGACUCCUACGGGAGGCAGCAGUGGGGAAUUUUGGACAAUGGGCGCAAGCCUGAUCCAGCCAUGCCGCGUGAGUGAAGAAGGCCUUCGGGUUGUAAAGCUCUUUCGGCUGGGAAGAAAUCGCACCCUCUAAUACAGGGUGUGGAUGACGGUACCAGCAGAAGAAGCACCGGCUAACUACGUG